UCUCUGAUAGCUUAGCUGGUUAAAGAAUCUGCCUGUAAAGCAGGAGACCUGGGUUCGAUCCCUGGGUUGGGAA
Molecule: transfer RNA, 73 nt
Filed under: Bos taurus (domestic cattle)
Lineage: Eukaryota; Metazoa; Chordata; Mammalia; Artiodactyla; Bovidae
Also listed under: 5 other names
Rfam family: tRNA
About the family: Transfer RNA (tRNA) molecules are approximately 80 nucleotides in length.
Source: Rfam by way of RNAcentral